This 811-nucleotide ribosomal RNA is filed under the name uncultured bacterium. RNAcentral's name for it is "bacterial SSU rRNA". It matches the Rfam family "Bacterial small subunit ribosomal RNA", at positions 504 to 1316 of the family's 1533-position model. The record is from RNAcentral.
UGUGCCAGCCGCCGCGGUAAUACAGAGGGUGCGAGUGUUAAUCGGAUUUACUGGGCGUAAAGCGUGCGUAGGCGGCUUUUUAAGUCGGAUGUGAAAUCCCCGAGCUUAACUUGGGAAUUGCAUUCGAUACUGGGAAGCUAGAGUAUGGGAGAGGAUGGUAGAAUUCCAGGUGUAGCGGUGAAAUGCGUAGAGAUCUGGAGGAAUACCGAUGGCGAAGGCAGCCAUCUGGCCUAAUACUGACGCUGAGGUACGAAAGCAUGGGGAGCAAACAGGAUUAGAUACCCUGGUAGUCCAUGCCGUAAACGAUGUCUACUAGCCGUUGGGGCCUUUGAGGCUUUAGUGGCGCAGCUAACGCGAUAAGUAGACCGCCUGGGGAGUACGGUCGCAAGACUAAAACUCAAAUGAAUUGACGGGGGCCCGCACAAGCGGUGGAGCAUGUGGUUUAAUUCGAUGCAACGCGAAGAACCUUACCUGGCCUUGACAUACUAGAAACUUUCCAGAGAUGGAUUGGUGCCUUCGGGAAUCUAGAUACAGGUGCUGCAUGGCUGUCGUCAGCUCGUGUCGUGAGAUGUUGGGUUAAGUCCCGCAACGAGCGCAACCCUUUUCCUUACUUGCCAGCAUUUCGGAUGGGAACUUUAAGGAUACUGCCAGUGACAAACUGGAGGAAGGCGGGGACGACGUCAGUCAUCAUGGCCCUUACGGCCAGGGCUACACACGUGCUACAAUGGUCGGUACAAAGGGUUGCUACACAGCGAUGUGAUGCUAUCUCAAAAAGCCGAUCGUAGUCCGGGAUUGGAGUCUGCAACUCGAC